RNAcentral lists this ribosomal RNA (460 nucleotides) under uncultured Streptococcus sp. Its description in RNAcentral is "bacterial SSU rRNA". It matches the Rfam family "Bacterial small subunit ribosomal RNA", at positions 923 to 1382 of the family's 1533-position model. Lineage: Bacteria; Bacillati; Bacillota; Bacilli; Lactobacillales; Streptococcaceae. The record is from RNAcentral.
GCACAAGCGGUGGAGCAUGUGGUUUAAUUCGACGCAACGCGAAGAACCUUACCAGGCUUGACAUCCCCUGACCGCGUAUGAAAGUACGUUUUCACCCUCGGGUGACAGGGAGACAGGUGGUGCAUGGUUGUCGUCAGCUCGUGUCGUGAGAUGUUGGGUUAAGUCCCGCAACGAGCGCAACCCCUACGUUUAGUUGCUAACAGGUGAAGCUGAGCACUCUAGACGAACUGCCGUUGACAAAACGGAGGAAGUGGGGAUGACGUCAAAUCAUCAUGCCCCUUAUGACCUGGGCUACACACGUGCUACAAUGGUUGGUACAACGAGUUGCGAGUCGGUGACGGCGAGCUAAUCUCUUAAAGCCAAUCUCAGUUCGGAUUGUAGGCUGCAACUCGCCUACAUGAAGUCGGAAUCGCUAGUAAUCGCGGAUCAGCACGCCGCGGUGAAUACGUUCCCGGGCCUU